GAAAACCUCACUGCACAUGCGCACACCAUGUAAACAAAGCAGCAUGGCGUGUUGUCAAAAUCUUGUCUUCUAUUCUUUUAUUCAAACAUAUAUAUCAAAUAUAUAGUCUAGAUUUCUAACUUAAUAGUUUUUUAUGAUCCAUGAUGGCGGAGAAACCAGAGGGAUUGAACAAAUGUUUGCGAGACUUUUCUGAAGAAGCGCGAGAACUUUACCUGAACCAAUCCGUGCCUUACCUCGAGCUCCCUCCCUCCCCACUGGAGUUCUACCGCGACUGGAUUGGUCCAAAUAAGCCCUGCAUCAUCCGCAAUGCUUUCAACCAUUGGCCAGCCCUGUCCAGAUGGAGCCCAGACUACUUCAGGGAGAAGCUGGGGUCAAAGGUCAUCAGCGUGGCGGUGACCCCUGACGGCUACGCGGACGCGGUGAGCGACGGGCGCUUCGUGAUGCCGGAGGAGCGGAGCAUGACCUUCUCCUCGCUGCUGGACGUCAUCGAGGGCAAGGUGGAGCAGCCGGGGGUGUACUACGUCCAGAAGCAGUGCUCCAACCUGACGGAGGAGCUGCCGGAGCUGACACCGGACAUAGAGGAGGACAUACCCUGGAUGAGCCAGGCCCUGGGGAGGUCACCUGAUGCGGUGAACUUUUGGAUGGGAGAAGCCAGUGCUGUCACUUCCUUACACAAGGACCACUAUGAGAACCUGUACUGCGUGAUUUCUGGAGAGAAGACGUUCAUCCUCCUCCCGCCGAGCGACCGGCCUUUCAUCCCAUACGGCCUGUACCCGCCGGCGGUCUACAGGCAGGCCGCGGACGGACGCUUCGAGGUGGACGAGCAGACGGACGCCGAGAAGGUGCCCUGGAUCCCCCUGGACCCACUGGACCCGGACCUGGAGCGCUACGGGUCGUACCGCGGGGCCAGACCCCUGCUGUGCCGCGUGGCGGCGGGCGAGAUGCUGUACCUCCCCUCCCUCUGGUUCCACCACGUCAGGCAGAGCCAGGGCUGCAUCGCUGGUGCUGCCUCACUACUACCUCGCUACUACCUCACUACUACCUCACUACUACUACAUCACUACUACCUCACUAAUAAUGCUACUACCACGUCAGGCAGAGCCAGGGCUGCAUCGCUGGUGCUGCCUCACUACUACCUCGCUACUACCUCGCUACUACCUCACUACUACUACAUCACUACUACCUCACUAAUAAUGCUACUACCACGUCAGGCAGAGCCAAGGCUGCAUCGCUGGUGCUGCCUCACUACUACCUCGCUACUACCUCACUACUACCUCACUACUACUACAUCACUACUACCUCACUAAUAAUGCUACUACCACGUCAGGCAGAGCCAAGGCUGCAUCGCUGGUGCUGCCUCACUACUACCUCGCUACUACCUCACUACUACCUCACUACUACCUCACUAAUAAUGCUACUACCACGUCAGGCAGAGCCAAGGCUGCAUCGCUGGUGCUGCCUCACUACUACCUCACUACUACCUCACUACUACCUCACUACUACCUCACUAAUAAUGCUACUACCACGUCAGGCAGAGCCAGGGCUGCAUCGCUGUGAACUUCUGGUACGACAUGGAUUAUGACAUCAAGUACAACUACUACCAGCUCCUGGACACGCUCUCCGGCCUCACCCCACAACCAUGACAUCACAGGAAGUCAACAUGACCUCACAGGAAAUAACCAUGACAUCACAGGAAGUCCCGGCAGAGAGAUAUGCAGUUCAUCAUCUGGAAACGAG
RNA transcript from Gadus morhua (Atlantic cod), 1737 nucleotides. It is a transcript of the gene named jumonji domain containing 7, with no coding region annotated. NCBI's taxonomy places the organism in Eukaryota, Metazoa, Chordata, Actinopteri, Gadiformes, Gadidae. The transcript is spliced from 10 exons. The record is from RefSeq and is a predicted model, not a curated record.